This 68-nucleotide transfer RNA is filed under the name Trigonopteryx hopei. RNAcentral describes it as "tRNA-His". Lineage: Eukaryota; Metazoa; Arthropoda; Insecta; Orthoptera; Trigonopterygidae. The record is from RNAcentral.
AUUUAAAUAUUUUAAUUAAAAUAUUAGUUUGUGGAACUGAUGAUAUGAAAAUUAUUUCAUUUUAAAUU